AAAAUACAAAGAGGGAAAUUUCCAUCUGUUCCUCACAUAAAGCUAUCAUAUGGCUUCAGAAGAAGAAUGGGAAUGUCAUACAGGAGUGACAAACGUGAAAAUCUCACAAAACCUAUCAAGAACAUGUCCAAACCAUGUUUUACUCUGAAGUCAAAAGAAAGCAAGAAGAAAGUUGUAAAAUGUCAGGACAGCUUUUGAAUAUCAGAAUGUGAGACAAAUUAUUCUUAAUUGGCAUGAAAAUGUGAUGUGGACAUGUUUUCGAGAGAUUAACUCCAAGCUGAACUUCUAUGAGAAAGAAUGAAAUGGCUCUUUUUUUAAUGAAUAAAUGAACUGAGGAGUGAUUUAAAGGUGUCUUCUUUUGAAAUAUUAAACUUUAAGUUUAGAAAAAGGUGUUUGAUCUGUUUUUGAGUCUUUUUUCAUGUUGGUGGUUUUCAAGUGUGAGGGCUCUCUAAGUAAAACUUAUCGAGAUGCAAAGAAGGAUGAGCAUCCCAAGCUCUUCUUCACUUUUCUGUUUAUUUCACACCAUUCGCUUCUCCUAGACCUCAGAUCGUGACUGAAAUUCAAAUGCAGAUGCAAAACAAGUGGCAGAAAUAAUAAACUGUUGGAUCAGUGGAAAUGGAUCAACCAACCAAAUAAACACCCCAAAUUCUUGUUUUCUUUCACACAAGACAAACAAAAGCCCAAACAUUUGCUCUUUCUGAAAUACAUUCCUGUCAUGCAACACCCUUCCUUUUAAUAAGCUUGCAUUCCUGCUAAUGAUCAAAGGCAUACAUCAUUCUGAUGACAUAAUUGUCUGUCAAAGGCAUCCAUUGCAAAAUUAGGUUAAUUAAAUUUUCCGGCAAUGCAUUACACAUCACAAUGGGAAGCUGACACUGAGAGCUUGUGCGUAUCCACGACGAUGUGUCAAGGUCACACAGCGGAAUGCAGGGAAACAUUCCUCAC
This is a long non-coding RNA of Cyprinus carpio carpio, 942 nucleotides long. The record is from Ensembl. NCBI's taxonomy places the organism in Eukaryota, Metazoa, Chordata, Actinopteri, Cypriniformes, Cyprinidae.